RNAcentral lists this transfer RNA (65 nucleotides) under Eubela sp. MNHN IM 2013-9671. Its description in RNAcentral is "tRNA-Thr". It matches the Rfam family "tRNA". Rfam says of the family: Transfer RNA (tRNA) molecules are approximately 80 nucleotides in length. Their secondary structure includes four short double-helical elements and three loops (D, anti-codon, and T loops). Further hydrogen bonds mediate the characteristic L-shaped molecular structure. tRNAs have two regions of fundamental functional importance: the anti-codon, which is responsible for specific mRNA codon recognition, and the 3' end, to which the tRNAs corresponding amino acid is attached (by aminoacyl-tRNA synthetases). tRNAs cope with the degeneracy of the genetic code in two manners: having more than one tRNA (with a specific anti-codon) for a particular amino acid; and 'wobble' base-pairing, i.e. permitting non-standard base-pairing at the 3rd anti-codon position. The record is from RNAcentral. Lineage: Eukaryota; Metazoa; Mollusca; Gastropoda; Neogastropoda; Raphitomidae.
GUGAUAGUAGCUUAAUUUAGGGCGUUGGUCUUGUAAGCCAAAAGUGAAAUAUUUUUCCUAUCACU